AGGAAGUUCCUCCCUUCUCCAGAGCGCCGUCGACCCCACGCCACGCAGAGGUGAAGAUACGCAGGACGUCCUCUAAAGCAACUUCCGUGGGUGCCAGGUUGUGGGCUGGGGGCGGUGCUGACCUUGAGAGAGCGGAGGAGGCGCAGGCGCAGCACAGUUUAAACUUGAUUUUGUGAGGGGACGAACAGCGUGACAAUUAAAAGAAGAUCUGGGAAUCAAAAGCUUCCUGAGGCCUUCACCAGAAGCAGAUGCUGGUGCCGUGCUUCUACAGCCUGCAGAACUGUGAGCCAAAUAAAGUUCUUUCCUUUAUAAAUUACCCAGCGUCAGGUAUUGUUUUAUAGCAAUGCAGAACAGACUAACACAGACACACACACCAACCAAGUACAGUAUGAGAAGGGAUUAUUGGGUGCCAUUUUGGAGGUUGUCUACCACAGGAUUUUAUCUGUAUCAUUAUUCAAAUUUCGUUUUUGAAAAAUUUUGUAAGGGCACAUUUAUAGAAAUAUGAAUGCUUAAUAUUUGAUGAUAUUAGGGAAUUAAACCAUUUUUGUGUGAUAGUAAUUUUUAAAGAUUCCUUAUCUUUUAGAAAUACAUAUUGAAAUAUUUAGAGAUGUAGUGAUAUAAUGUCUGGGGUAUGCUUCAAGAUAAGAGUUGCAGAAAGUGGGUGGUAGUAUAAAUCAAGAUUGGUUAUGAGUUGAGAAUUUUUGAGUAAUAGGUAUAUGGGGACUAAGUAUUCUAUUCUUCAUACUUUUACAUGCCGUAAAUCCCCACUUAUCUGCAGGGAAUGUGUUCCAAGACCCCCAGUGGAUGCCUGAAACUGAGAAUAGUACUGGACCCUGUAUAUACUGUGUUUUUUCUUUCCUUAUUGAGAACUUUUAUGUUUUCACUUAAAGGAAGGACUUUACAGCUUCUCUUUCGCAUAUCCAAAUUGCCAGCAUCACCGCUCUUGCACUCCAAGCCAUUAUUAAGUAAAGUAAAGAACACAAACACUGUGAUACUGCUACACUUGAUCUGAUAACCAAGAAGUCUACUAAGUGACUAACAGGUGGGUAGCAUAUACAGCAUAGAUACACUGGACAAAGGGAGGACUCACAUCCUGGGCAAGAUGGAGCAGAAUGGCAGAGUUCAUCAUGCUGCUCAAAAUGAUGUGCAAUUUAAAACUAAUGAAUUAUUUCUGGAAUUUUUCAGUUAAUAUUUUUGGACAUGAGGUGACUGCAGUUAACUAAAACCAUGGAAAGCAAACCCAUAGAUAAAGGGAUACUAUGGUAUGUUUUCAUUUUCUAUAAUAAAAAGUUAAAAAGGAAAAAGACACCAUAGGAAAAUAAAAGACAAGUCACAAACUGGGAAAAGAUCUUUGCAACACAUGUGACUAUCGAAAGGAUUAGUAUUCACACUGUGUAAAGAACCACUACAAUUCAAUGAAAAUGAAGAUAAUGCUUUCCACCCCAAACAGGCAAUUCAUACAGGAGAAAACCUGAAAAGAUACCCAACCACAAGGAAAUACCAUUUCACACCCACCAGAUGAACAAAAAUGUAAAAGUCUGGCAAUAUUACAAUUCUUAUACAUUGCUGGUUGGAGUAUGAAUUGAUAUAAUCAAUUUGGGAAACAAUAUGGUAUUAUCUAGUAGCUGAAGAUGCACAUCUUCUGUGACCCAGGAAAAAUGUAUAGCAGGAGACAUGAGCAAGAAAAUUCAUAAUGGCAUUUAUAACAGUAAAACGUGGAAGAAAAUCCACUGUCCAUCAACAGUAGAGUGAUUAAAUACAUUGUAUAUGCUCAUACAGCAGAAUAUAGUGGUGGAAAAAAUAAAUUACAAGUUCAUGGACAUAGAUAAAUCUCUAACAAAAUGUUGAGCAAAUAAAAAUUCACAAAAGAAUUUUACAGUAGGAUUCCAUUUAUAUAAAGAACCAAUGAAAGUAAAUAGCCUAAGGGUACAAACAUAAGUAAAUCUAUAAAUUAAAGCAAAAGAAUGAUAAGCACAAAUUCAAGGCAGUGAUUUCCUCUAGCUACAGAGGGAAGGGAAUGAAGUAAGGAAAAGGUGAACAAGGAGCUUAAAAGUAUGAUAAUUAUAUGUGUUGGUUUGGCCAAACAGUCCUGGUUUACCUAGCACAGUUCUGGUUUGCUGAUUGCCUGGUGUAAUGAUUAAUAGCACUGUCACUCCCCAAAUUGUCAUUGUUUGGAUAAUGAAUUAUAUGCAUCCUUUUUAGAGUAAAAGUAACUUUUUUCUCCUUAAACUGGAUGGAGGGCAUGUGGGUCUUUAUCAUUCUUCCUUAUACAUGUAUUUUUAAAAUAUAAUUUAAAACUAGUCAGUAUUUUAAAAUAUAAUUUAAAACUUUAGUCAGUGUUAGUCACUGUGUUAGUGACAACACAGUAAAAAAAAAAAAUUUGUAAGAUAAAUAAAUAUAAAUAGGAUCCAAAUGAAACUCUUUUCAUCUGGGUGGAUACAGGGAUAAAUAACAUACUAUAUGCCUGGCAUUGUAUUAAGCUUGUUACUGAUAUUACUUCAUAUUCAUAGCAAGACAUUUAGGUAGGCAUUAUUAUCUCCAUUUUACACAUGAAGAAUCUAAGACACAAAGACUAUACAUAAUUUAACCAAAGUCAUAUUAUAUGUGACAGCGCAGAAUUUGAACCCAAGCAGUGUGACAUCAGACUACAUGCUCUUAACUACCAUGCCAGAGCCCAUAACAGAUUUUCUUAACCUUUUUUAUGCCACAGAUCCCUUUGACAGUCUGGUGAAGCCUAUAGAGUCCUUUUUAGAGUAAUGUCUUUUGUACAUCAAAUAUAAUGCACAGGAUUAUAAAUAAAAUCAAUUAUACUAAAAUAUGGUAAUCAAAAUAUUUAACAAAUGUAUACUAUACCUGUACUUUUUAUUAAUGCAUUAAAUAAAUAAUAAAAUCUAGCAGGUCUAAUGAAUAAUUUUGAAAUAAUAAUAAUAAUUGUAUCUUGAGAUAUCUACAAAUAUAGUAAUGUGAUAGGAAAAUGUUUGUGAUUUUGAUAAGUGAAAAAGUCACCAAAAUACUUGUAAUAACACUGUGGUUUUUUGCAUAUGUUCACAAUGGAAAGAAAUCCUAAAUCUUACUUCGAAGUUAGCAAGAAUUACAAUAUUUUUCCCACCCCAAUUCAUGGCCCUCUACUUUAUGGUCUUAUUUCAUAGGCUUUCUGACAUGUUUUGCUUCAAAGAGGUCCUAUUCCCCAUCCCAUUUCCUAUCUUCUGGUUUGGGAUUACACUCAAGAUGUGAUAUACAGAUAGAUUAGUUUAUUAGAAAGAAAAUAUUUUUCCACAUGGCGAACUUUAGUGGAGGCUAACAAAUCAGAAUGUGCUAAAAUAGCCAUGUGUACAUAUAGACAAUGGGAAGCUUGGAACUGCUUUAGCAUUUUAUACAAAAGACUUAAAAGUAAUUUCAGCUGGGCACUGUGGCUCGGGCCUGUAAUCCCAGCACUUUGGGAGGCUAAAGUGAGAGGAUUGCUUGAGGCCAGGAGUUCAAGACCAGCCUGGGCAACAUAGUGAGACCCUCCCCCCAUCUGU
This 3521-nucleotide long non-coding RNA is filed under the name Homo sapiens (human). Its description in RNAcentral is "TMEM161B divergent transcript". Lineage: Eukaryota; Metazoa; Chordata; Mammalia; Primates; Hominidae. The record is from RNAcentral.